AUUGAACGCUGGCGGCAGGCCUAACACAUGCAAGUCGAAUGGUAACAGGAAACAGCUUGCUGUUUCGCUGACGAGUGGCGGACGGGUGAGUAAUGUCUGGGAAACUGCCUGAUGGAGGGGGAUAACUACUGGAAACGGUAGCUAAUACCGCAUAACGUCGCAAGCCCAAAGAGGGGGACCUUCGGGCCUCUUGCCAUCAGAUGUGCCCAGAUGGGAUUAGCUAGUAGGGGGGGUAACGGCUCACCUAGGCGACGAUCCCUAGCUGGUCUGAGAGGAUGACCAGCCACACUGGAACUGAGAAACGGUCCAGACUCCUACGGGAGGAAGCAGUGGGGAAUAUUGGACAAUGGGCGCAAGCCUGAUGCAGCCAUGCCGCGUGUAUGAAGAAGGCCUUCGGGUGGUAAAGUACUUUCAGCGGGGAGGAAGGGAGUAAAGUUAAUACCUUUGCUCAUUGACGUUACCCGCAGAAGAAGCACCGGCUAACUCCGUG
This 490-nucleotide ribosomal RNA is filed under the name uncultured bacterium. RNAcentral's name for it is "partial 16S ribosomal RNA". It matches the Rfam family "Bacterial small subunit ribosomal RNA", at positions 30 to 507 of the family's 1533-position model. The record is from RNAcentral.